GACGAACGCUGGCGGCGUGCUUAACACAUGCAAGUCGAACGGAAAGGCCCUGCUUUUGUGGGGUGCUCGAGUGGCGAACGGGUGAGUAACACGUGAGUAACCUGCCCUUGACUUUGGGAUAACUUCAGGAAACUGGGGCUAAUACCGGAUAGGAGCUCCUGCUGCAUGGUGGGGGUUGGAAAGUUUCGGCGGUUGGGGAUGGACUCGCGGCUUAUCAGCUUGUUGGUGGGGUAGUGGCUUACCAAGGCUUUGACGGGUAGCCGGCCUGGGAGGGUGACCGGCGGCAUGGGGACUGAGAGACGGCCCAGAAUGCUACGGGAGGCAGCAGUGGGGAAUAUGGCGCAAUGGGCGGAAGCCUGAUGCAGAAACGCCGCGUGCGGGAUGACGGCCUUCGGGUGGUAAACAGAUUUCGCCUGUGACGAAGCGGGAGUGACGGUAAUGGGUAAAGAAGCACCGGCUAACUACGUG
This 468-nucleotide ribosomal RNA is filed under the name uncultured bacterium. RNAcentral describes it as "partial 16S ribosomal RNA". It matches the Rfam family "Bacterial small subunit ribosomal RNA", at positions 28 to 507 of the family's 1533-position model. The record is from RNAcentral.